Bos indicus x Bos taurus (hybrid cattle) is the source of this 608-nucleotide long non-coding RNA. The record is from Ensembl. NCBI's taxonomy places the organism in Eukaryota, Metazoa, Chordata, Mammalia, Artiodactyla, Bovidae.
UGGCAGUGAUCUGCUUUUUAAGGCCAUACACAAUAAACCAUGUCAUUAAUAACAGAAGAAAUGACUCAUCUUCAUUGUCUGGUUGGAGGGUAAUAAUGUGACACAUCCUGAUGGAAUUUCUUAUUUACAAGUAAGGAAGGGGGGAAGGAGUGAAAUACAGACCAGUCGUACUACAUUACACUUGGAAUAUGGUAUUUCAAACGACUCUUCCAACCUCCUUUGAUUCUGAGAAGGGUUUUAUGAUACAUGCUUUAAGAAAACAUUGAAUCAGGGCUCUGAGCUGAGAUUAUAUGAUUUGGAGGAUGAAGCAAUACAGCUUGAAACGAUCCUGCCAUUGAUGGCUUACUUUCCUGACCACCCACCCUCCUGGGGCUAAAAGAACCAGAGUCAAAUAAGCAAGAAAGAACCAUCAGCUAAAUCCAGGUUGAAUUCUAGGCAGAUAUAUGGAUAUUGUGCUUGAUUGCUCCAAUGUACUUUUUCAUUCAACCAACAUUUGUUGAACAUCUGAAGGAUGAACCUUGGCAUGGUGUAAAGCUAUCCAGAAAUGAGUACCUUGGGACCCUUUUAAAGCCAAUAGCCAACCGAGCAGCGAAUCUGUUCAAAGGUAC